RNAcentral lists this long non-coding RNA (1070 nucleotides) under Citrus x clementina. Its description in RNAcentral is "Citrus clementina (C. clementina) long non-coding RNA (CCLE_LNC003645)". Lineage: Eukaryota; Viridiplantae; Streptophyta; Magnoliopsida; Sapindales; Rutaceae. The record is from RNAcentral.
GGGAAUUUUGUUGAAUAUGUAAACUAUUUCAUAACGAAUUUUCCAAGAUUUGACAUGAAAAUCCACUUAUCCACCUGCAAGUAAAUACCUAGCAUGACACAAUUUUAAGGUGUGAUGAUGGUCAAAUCUAGCAAAAAUGAAAAGUCAUUUUUCCAUAAUAAUGGAUCUUACAUAUCACCCUGCUCCUGGUAAACUGCAACAAAUAAAUCCAUGUGUUCUUUACAUAUUGCUUCUUAUAUAUAUCGUAGAUAGAAUGACAUUACGUUGUAUCGUUCCGUCAUUGAAAUAUUAACUAACUGUAAUAUAGGUAUGAUCUUUACAAUUGGAACAGACAAUCUCUCUCGUUGGUUGAAGAAAUAAACAACAAUGUAGACUGGUAAAAAGAUUAUAAACUGGAAUCCAUCAGAGACGGAGCUAGCUAUCAGAAUUAUAACCUGAUCUGUUAAUCAUAAAAUUAUUAUUGCUUCAGCAAGCCAAGUCUUUUUCUUCCACCUUUCAUAGCUUUAUUUGAUCAUCUGGCAAUUCAAAGUGGGAUCGAGGCAUCAAGCUAUUUGUAGUGUUCUUUUCUCUUUAUCUUAUACAUCUGAAACUACCAUCUGAACUGAAUUGUUGGUGACCACAUUCUUUUGCAUCACUUUCAUGAUCUUUCAGCCAAAAAAAAAAAAAAAAAAACACAGAUCCCUGCUGAAAGUUAAAUCAUUAAAAUAAAUUGCCCAAACCAACCUUAGAAUUACCAAGUACUAACGCGUGUAGCAGAUGUAACUGAAACGAAUUUGAUCUGAUUGUUGCCGAUUUAAAGCAGAUCCAAGAUCCCAACCGACAUGUGAAGCCAAAUGAAAGCAUAUAUAUAUGCACAUCCCAUAUUCCAUUAAAAUCAAACAGUUAUAUCUGAUCCCUCCACCAGAUAGAAAGAAUGUUUAGCUUUUGCUAUUUAUUGAUUUCUGAUUGUCAUUUCUGCUGGAAUUAAUUAAUUUUAUGCAGCUACCAUGUGCAUCUAAAACAUGACAUAUGCUAGAAACCAAUCUACUUUUUCUGUAAGAUUGGAAACAGUUGGAAAUGCUUAUCAUGCA